CAGCACCUCAAGUGGUCAGGAUGAUUAUUGGGCCUAAAGCAUCCGUAGCCGGCUCUGUAAGUUUUCGGUUAAAUCUGUACGCUCAACGUACAGGCUGCCGGGAAUACUGCAGAGCUAGGGAGUGGGAGAGGUAGACGGUACUCGGUAGGAAGGGGUAAAAUCCUUUGAUCUAUUGAUGACCACCUGUAGCGAAGGCGGUCUACCAGAACACGUCCGACGGUGAGGGAUGAAAGCUGGGGGAGCAAACCGGAUUAGAUACCCGAGUAGUCC
Molecule: ribosomal RNA, 270 nt
Filed under: uncultured archaeon
Lineage: Archaea
Description: partial 16S ribosomal RNA
Rfam family: Archaeal small subunit ribosomal RNA
Source: RNAcentral